GACGAACGCUGGCGGCGUGCCUAAUACAUGCAAGUUGAGCGCUGAGGGUUGGUUCUUGUACCGUCUGGAUGAGCCGCGCACGUGUGAGUAACGCGUGGGGAAUCUCCCUUUGAGCGGGGGACAACCUUUGGAAACGAAUGCUAAUACCGCAUAAAAACUUUCAACACAAGUUUUAAGUUUGAAAGAUGCCAUUGCAUCACUCACUGAUGAUCCCGCGUUGUAUUAGCUAGUUGGUGAGGUAAAGGCUCACCAAGGCGAUGAUACAUAGCCGACCUGAGAGGAUGAGCGGCCACAUUGGGAGGGUGACACGGCCCAAAGGGCUAGAGGAAGCAGCAGUAGGGAAUCGGCGGGAAUGGACGAAAGUCUGACCGAGCAAGGCGGAGUGAGGGAAGAAGGUCGUCGGAUCGGAAAACACUGUUGGUAGAGAAGAACGUGGGUGAGAGUGGAAAGAAGAGCAAGUGACGGUAACGAGCCAGAAAGGGACGGAUAACUACGUG
Molecule: ribosomal RNA, 497 nt
Filed under: uncultured bacterium
Lineage: Bacteria
Description: partial 16S ribosomal RNA
Rfam family: Bacterial small subunit ribosomal RNA
Source: RNAcentral